GGCCCUACCCCUAUAAUCAGCGCGGUGGGCGAGCCGCUAGAAGCAUACGUCCAAACAGCCACAGCAACGAGACUCUGGUUUGGUCGUGUUUGCCAUCACCUCUAUGUUAGCCCCAAGCGCAGUGGAGGACAUCGGGCGCUUCCCUUGUGGUGUUGCACUUACAGUGUGGUGAGUGAGACUUUACAAAUCAUAAGCUUUUUCACGUUGGAGUGGUGCUGUGUAUUUGCUGUGGGUUGCUGUGUGUCUUGUCAGAGAAGCCCCGCACCAUCCAUUCUCUCCACUGGGCAGAGGACGGAGGGGCCAACGACCUCAGACCUUAUUGCCACCAUACGCUGUGCGCUGUUUUCAGAGUACGAAGGGACGCAGACCAAGAGCUGUCAAGGACUGUGAGUAAAAUACUGAAAGCAUUCGUGGUGUAAGCUUACCUGUGUUUGUAUUUGUCGCAGAGUCGGAGGCGAAAGGGUCCGCCGCCCCCGUGGUCUCUACGAAAGGGCGCCCCUAUCCGGGAUUCGAUCGGCCUACGGGCAGUGGGGAUAGGGCAGCGCUCGACCCGGCGAGGUGGUGUGUGACCUUCGCCCCCCUGCUGACCUACAGAGGAAACCGGGAACGUGAUACCUACCCAGAAAGCUGUAAGCAGCGGAGCCGGUGAGAAACAUUCAAAGUUCAGUAACAGUGUUUCUGUGCCCUAGCGAUCACCUGUGGAGAGAGAGAGGAAAACGAGAGUGAAUCAUCGAAGAACAGACUGUGAACGCGAUACCUACCCAGAAAGCUGUAAGCAGCGGAACCGCGAUCACCUGUGGAGAGAGAGAGGAAAACGAGAGUGAAUCAUUGAAGAACAGACUGUGAACGUGAUACCUACCCAGAAAGCUGUAAGCAGCGGAGCCGGUGAGAAACAUUCAAAGUUCAGUAACAGUGUUUCUGUGCCCUAGCGAUCACCUGUGGAGAGAGAGAGGAAAACGAGAGUGAAUCAUUGAAGAACAGACUGUGAACGUGAUACCUACCCAGAAAGCUGUAAGCAGCGGAGCCGGUGAGAAACAUUCGAAGUUCAGUAACAGUGUCUUGUGUCCUAGCGACCACCUGUGGAGAGAGAAAGGAAAACGAGAGUGAAUCAUUGAAGAACAGACUGUGAACGUGAUACCUACCCAGAAAGCUGUAAGCAGCGGAGCCGGUGAGAAACAUUCAAAGUUCAGUAACAGUGUUUCUGUGUCCUAGCGACCACCUGUGGAGAGAGAGAGGAAAACGAGAGUGAAUCAUUGAAGAACAGACUGUGAACGUGAUACCUACCCAGAAAGCUGUAAGCAGCGGAGCCGGUGAGAAACAUUCGAAGUUCAGUAACAGUGUCUUGUGUCCUAGCGACCACCUGUGGAGAGAGAAAGGAAAACGAGAGUGAAUCAUUGAAGAACAGACUGUGAACGUGAUACCUACCCAGAAAGCUGUAAGCAGCGGAGCCGGUGAGAAACAUUCAGAGUUCAGUAACGGUGUCUUGUGUCCUAGCGACCACCUAUAGAGAGAGAGAGAGGAAAACGAGAGUGAAUCAUUGAGGAACAGACUGUGAACGUGAUACCUACCCAGAAAGUCGUAAACCGCAGAACCGGUGAGAAACAUUCGAAGUCCAGUAACAGUGUCUUUGUGUCCUAGUGGCCGCCUGUGGAGAGAGAGGAAGGCGAGAGUGAACAAUUGGGCACGGACAGUGGGAAAGACCUCUACCAGUCACACCAAAAUUGUCUGCCUCCAGGAAAGAAGAAGGAGGGCGCCACGGCUAGCAGGGUCCAGGCGGGAGCCUGACGUUUCCCUUUUUCCCCGUUAAUGGUGGGGGGCACCCCUGUUGCUCUUGUCCCUGUCUGCCCGUGGCUGUAGUCUCCCUGGAGGGAGGAGAAGAAGCCUAUUAGUUUUAAAUUCCCCUUUCCCCAUUUUUCCCAGUCCUUUUAAGUAUUUAAAUUCAAUAAAGCUUGUUUUAAAUUUUA
Molecule: non-coding RNA, 1964 nt
Organism: Misgurnus anguillicaudatus (oriental weatherfish)
Lineage: Eukaryota; Metazoa; Chordata; Actinopteri; Cypriniformes; Cobitidae
Source: RefSeq, a predicted model, not a curated record